RNAcentral lists this ribosomal RNA (301 nucleotides) under uncultured bacterium. Its description in RNAcentral is "partial 16S ribosomal RNA". It matches the Rfam family "Bacterial small subunit ribosomal RNA", at positions 509 to 807 of the family's 1533-position model. The record is from RNAcentral.
CAGUAGCCGCGGGAAUACGUAGGUGGCAAGCGUUGUCCGGAAUUAUUGGGCGUAAAGGGCUCGCAGGCGGUUUCUUAAGUCUGAUGUGAAAGCCCCCGGCUCAACCGGGGAGGGUCAUUGGAAACUGGGAAACUUGAGUGCAGAAGAGGAGAGUGGAAUUCCACGUGUAGCGGUGAAAUGCGUAGAGAUGUGGAGGAACGCCAGUGGCGAAGGCGACUCUCUGGUCUGUAACUGACGCUGAGGAGCGAAAGCGUGGGGAGCGAACAGGAUUAGAGACCCCUGUAGUCCCUGUCUCUUAUAC